GUCAGUUAUAUGAUAAUAAAUAGAGGUUAGUGGCUCAGUAAUAGGAUAAUAAAUAGAGGUUAGUGACACACAGGGUCAGUUAUAUGAUAAUAAACAGAGGUUAGUGGCACAGAGGGUCAGUUAUAUGAUAAUAAAUAGAGGUUAGCGGCACAGAGGGUCAGUUAUAUGAUAAUAAAUAGAGGUUAGUGGCUCAGUUAUAUGAUAAUAAAUAGAGGUUAGAGGCAGAGAGGGUCAGUUAUAUGAUAAUAAAUAGAGGUUAGAGGCAGAGAGGGUCAGUUAUAUGAUAAUAAAUAGAGGUUAGUGAUCACAGAGGGUCAGUUAUAUGAUAAUAAAUAGAGGUUAGUGGCUCAGAGGGUCAGUUAUAUGAUAAUAAAUAGAGGUUAGCGGCAGAGAGGGUCAGUUAUAUGAUAAUAAAUAGAGGUUAGUGACACAGAGGGUCAGUUAUAUGAUAAUAAAUAGAGGUUAGCGACACAGAGGGUCAGUUAUAUGAUAAUAAAUAGAGGUUAGCGGCACAGAGGGUCAGUUAUAUGAUAAUAAAUAGAGGUUAGUGAUCACAGAGGGUCAGUUAUAUGAUA
RNAcentral lists this long non-coding RNA (575 nucleotides) under Pelobates cultripes (western spadefoot toad). Lineage: Eukaryota; Metazoa; Chordata; Amphibia; Anura; Pelobatidae. The record is from RNAcentral.